CGAGGGCAAAAUCCUUCGCUCACAAUGUUAUUAUCAGCUGGCCAGUAUCCGAGUCGGUGUCACAUUCACAAAUACAGUAUCUCACUGUCUCCUCCUUCCAGAUUAUGACUGCCACUUUCUUCAAUUUUUCGGUAUGGAAUUAGCAUUUCACGAUUAUAUGUGGGGAAUUGAAGAAGGCUUUAGUCGAAAUCGAAGGGGGUUAGAAUAAAGGAUUAUCAUUGAUUUGUCUAGCAAUUCCAGUCUUGUAAGGAUUCAUAUAAAGGUUAGAUCUCUGCUUGUUUCAUGUAACCUCUUACUAUAUCAGCAUGAUCACAAAAAUUUAGGGUUUUGUCACUUAAUCGUUGAUUCAUAUUCCAUUCAUGUCACUCUUUCAUAAUAAUCUGUCAAUAUCUUUGAUGUGAAAACAAAUGUUCGUGAAUAAUGAUGGCAGAGUUCAUUUCGACACACAAUCCGUAUUUUGUGAAUCACCUAAUUAGAUCUAGAGAUUGCAAUGGUCUUGUUAUUUGGUGUACUACCUAAACAGUUCCUGUAACUGAAAACCUUAAGAACUGAGUUUCGGGGAUGAAGAUUGUUGUACAGCGUAUUAUUCUUAUUUGUUUACAGAUACUUUUGUUUGAAAUUGAGGUCAACGAUGUGAGAUGGAACUGUGAACUGAGCAGAGUUAGGUACCAGAACAAACUUUAGGUUUUCUCAGGCUGUAGUAGUCAGUGGCCCAUAAACCCACUAAACACGACUCCUUAAAGUGUAAGGUUUGGGUAGGACAUCAGAAAUUGGGGUGAAGAUUAUCAUUGCAGCAAUUUAGUAACUGACUGGCUUUCCUUGAAUUGAGUCGCCUUACACUGUGUAAGAACUAACUUAGCUUGACUACAAAAGGUGUGGGAAGUUAUAAUGAGAGAGUUGGAGUUAUAUAAAUGAUUUCUUCCUGGCUCCUGGGGGUUAUGGUUGUUUCUGUGCUGCUGUGCAUAAGGAAAAAAAUCUUUCUGCUAGGGUGCCUGCUACUUGCUUGUUACCACAGGGUACAGUAAAAGCUGCCACAAAUGCUACUAUAGAGAUAUGGGUUGCUACCAGCAUACACGAAUUUGAGGGGAAGAAACAUGUACGAGUAAAGCAGGUUGAUGGAAAUGGGAGAGAUGAAUAGAGAUUGAAGAUUAUAAGUAACAACAGCAAGAGGACAAGACAAUGAGAUUCAGAUCUCCACUCACAUGGCAAUUUGGAGUCUAAAAGAAGUGGAGAGUGCAACGAAGAAACUGUACAACCCGUAUACAUUCAUAGACUCAUAGUCAAUCAUGAACACUAAAAGCUAAAAAGGCAACAAUCUCUGAAUAUGCAAGCAAAAAGUACAGAUGCAGCAGAAUCUCCCAUGUGAGCACUCUCAUUAAUGAACUGGCUGCUUCUUGCAACUUCUAGCUACUCCUUCCACUUCAGUAAUUCAUCUACGUGAAUAUUACAUCUUCUAUUUUUAUAUUUCCUCUUUUAAUCUUCUUUAGAUAGAUAACUUUUAGUUGGAGCAUCUGCACUUAGCCUGGACAUCUUCAUGGUGUCCAGACUGCAGAGAUUGUCUAUCCCUUCCUGGCAAACGCUAGUUAAAUUCGAUAAGGCUCUAUGGAUCAAAAGGCAUUGUGAUACACUAUCCUAACACAUAUCUCGCAUCCAAAACAAUUGGACCUUUCUCAAAGGCAAAGGUAUUGUUGGGAAUUUCUUCUUGUUUACCAAAUUGGAGGAUCAUAAAAGCUUUACAUUUGAAAUAAACUAUAUUAAUCUUUAGUCAGUCCAGUUUUUAGUCUCUUUAUCUCUGUAUAGUCUCCCUGCUUGUAGUUGGUCAGUGUUCAGUCUGUAUUGGACUUCUAUCUAAUGAAUGGAUCCUUUUCUUUGCUCAAAAUAAAA
Molecule: long non-coding RNA, 1884 nt
Organism: Papaver somniferum (opium poppy)
Lineage: Eukaryota; Viridiplantae; Streptophyta; Magnoliopsida; Ranunculales; Papaveraceae
Exons: 2
Source: RefSeq, a predicted model, not a curated record